GACGAACGCUGGCGGCGUGCUUAACACAUGCAAGUCGAACGGAAAGGCCCUGCUUUUGUGGGGUGCUCGAGUGGCGAACGGGUGAGUAACACGUGAGUAACCUGCCCUUGACUUUGGGAUAACUUCAGGAAACUGGGGCUAAUACCGGAUAGGAGCUCCUGCUGCAUGGUGGGGGUUGGAAAGUUUCGGCGGUUGGGGAUGGACUCGCGGCUUAUCAGCUUGUUGGUGGGGUAGUGGCUUACCAAGGCUUUGACGGGUAGCCGGCCUGAGAGGGUGACCGGCCACAUUGGGACUGAGAUACGGCCCAGACGCCUACGGGAGGCAGCAGUGGGGAAUAUUGCACAAUGGGCGGACGCCUGAUGCAGCAACGCCGCGUGCGGGAUGACGGCCUUCGGGUUGUAAACCGCUUUCGCCUGUGACGAAGCGUGAGUGACGGUAAUGGGUAAAGAAGCACCGGCUAACUACGUG
RNAcentral lists this ribosomal RNA (468 nucleotides) under uncultured bacterium. Its description in RNAcentral is "partial 16S ribosomal RNA". It matches the Rfam family "Bacterial small subunit ribosomal RNA", at positions 28 to 507 of the family's 1533-position model. The record is from RNAcentral.